RNAcentral lists this microRNA precursor (71 nucleotides) under Panagrellus redivivus. Its description in RNAcentral is "microRNA prd-mir-7921 precursor". Lineage: Eukaryota; Metazoa; Nematoda; Chromadorea; Rhabditida; Panagrolaimidae. The record is from miRBase by way of RNAcentral.
UGACUAAUUCCCGGUGACCUCGUGUUUACAAUUCAGAACGUUACUUCCGAGAUCGGCGGGAAUUAGCCAUG